CACGUAGGGGGCGAGCGUUGUCCGGAAUCAUUGGGCGUAAAGAGCUCGUAGGCGGCUCAGUAAGUCGGGUGUGAAACCCCCAGGCUCAACCUGGGGACGCCACCCGAUACUGCUGUGGCUAGAGUCCAGUAGGGGAGUGUGGAGUUCCCGGUGUAGCGGUGAAAUGCGCAGAUAUCGGGAGGAACACCAGCGGCGAAGGCGGCACUCUGGGCUGGAACUGACGCUGAGGAGCGAAAGCAUGGGGAGCGAACAGG
RNAcentral lists this ribosomal RNA (254 nucleotides) under uncultured bacterium. RNAcentral's name for it is "partial 16S ribosomal RNA". It matches the Rfam family "Bacterial small subunit ribosomal RNA", at positions 524 to 776 of the family's 1533-position model. The record is from RNAcentral.